This 492-nucleotide ribosomal RNA is filed under the name uncultured bacterium. Its description in RNAcentral is "partial 16S ribosomal RNA". It matches the Rfam family "Bacterial small subunit ribosomal RNA", at positions 29 to 507 of the family's 1533-position model. The record is from RNAcentral.
AGUGAACGCUGGCGGUAGGCCUAACACAUGCAAGUCGAACGGCAGCACAGUAAGAUCUUGCUCUUACGGGUGGCGAGUGGCGGACGGGUGAGGAAUACAUCGGAAUCUACUUUUUCGUGGGGGAUAACGUAGGGAAACUUACGCUAAUACCGCAUACGACCUACGGGUGAAAGCAGUGGAUCUUCGGACCUUGCGCGAUUGAAUGAGCCGAUGUCGGAUUAGCUAGUUGGCGGGGUAAAGGCCCACCAAGGCGACGAUCCGUAGCUGGUCUGAGAGGAUGAUCAGCCACACUGGAACUGAGACACGGUCCAGAAUCCUAAGGGAGGCAGCAGGGGGGAAAAUUGGACAAUGGGCGGAAGCCUGAUCCAGCCAUACCGCGUGGGUGAAGAAGGCCUUCGGGUUGGAAAGCCCUUUUGUUGGGAAAGAAAAGCAGCAGGUUAAUACCCCGCUGUUCUGACGGUACCCAAAGAAUAAGCACCGGCUAAAUUCGUG